This 461-nucleotide ribosomal RNA is filed under the name uncultured bacterium. RNAcentral describes it as "partial 16S ribosomal RNA". It matches the Rfam family "Bacterial small subunit ribosomal RNA", at positions 338 to 795 of the family's 1533-position model. The record is from RNAcentral.
CCUACGGGCGGCAGCAGUGAGGAAUAUUGGUCAAUGGGCGGGAGCCUGAACCAGCCAAGUCGCGUGAGGGAAGACGGUCCUAUGGAUUGUAAACCUCUUUAGGCGGGGAGCAAUGCCGGGCACGUGUGCCCGGAGGGAGAGUACCCGCAGAAUAAGCAUCGGCUAACUCCGUGCCAGCAGCCGCGGUAAUACGGAGGAUGCGAGCGUUAUCCGGAUUUAUUGGGUUUAAAGGGUGCGUAGGCGGAUUUUUAAGUCAGCGGUAAAAUGUCCGGGCUCAACCGGUACAGGCUCUGGAAACUGGCGGGCUAGAGAGCAGGAGAGGGCGGUGGAACUCCAUGUGUAGCGGUAAAAUGCGUAGAUAUAUGGAAGAACACCAGUGGCGAAGGCGGCCGCCUGGCCUGUUAACUGACGCUGAGGCACGAAAGCAUGGGGAGCAAAUAGGAUUAGAUACCCGGGUAGUC